UCACUUUUGUUGAAGAAGAGAGUACUUUUUUAGGGAGUUUUUAGCGAGUUGGGACAGUGAAAGCCAAUAACGAAGCAAAAAAGGAAGCGCACUUUGGAAAAAAUAAUUUGAAAUUAGAGUAGAAUUAUUCGGAUUUGUUAUCCGUUAUCAGUAAACAAGCGGUUUGUGCCUUUAUGGUAUAAACAAUUAGAGUGGUACCGCGGGAUAAUACCUCGUCUCUUUU
This is a regulatory RNA element of Carnobacterium divergens DSM 20623, 223 nucleotides long. It matches the Rfam family "T-box leader". From Rfam's summary of the family: Uncharged tRNA acts as the effector for transcription antitermination of genes in the T-box leader family. The record is from Rfam. Lineage: Bacteria; Bacillati; Bacillota; Bacilli; Lactobacillales; Carnobacteriaceae.